RNAcentral lists this long non-coding RNA (1134 nucleotides) under Pavo cristatus (Indian peafowl). RNAcentral describes it as "lncRNA (ENSPSTG00000000303.1)". Lineage: Eukaryota; Metazoa; Chordata; Aves; Galliformes; Phasianidae. The record is from RNAcentral.
GGCCCUUCCUUCCCCGUGCUGUUCCAGCAGCAACCAAACACAAAACCAUGCUCCCCCCAAUCUCCUUCCCUCCUUUCUCCCUCCCCAAAAGCAAUUUGACUGAAAGCAGUAUUUGAAUGAGGAUUUCAAACACUGACUCAAGCUUUCUCUUCAGCUCACCAUGUGAGAGAACUGCACAGAGUAAAUGGUCGAUUGCAGUGAGCACGCCGGGUGUAAUUAGGUUCAGUAUUUGCUGGGUAUUGAAGAAGAGAAUGAAUCAGAUGCACCUAAACUGCAGGGAUGCCCUGUACAUCACUGUGCUCCUGUGGGUGUUGCACAAAAGGGACCUUGGAUCUGGCCCUCUCUGUCUGUGCCGUACAGUCUCCUCUCUGAGCUGCUCAGGCAGGUUUUCAAAACCAUGAUUUCUUUGCAGCCAUCACCAGAAGGUUCAUCUCAUUGACUCUUCCUACUGAAACAGCCUCUUCCAUGGCCAAGAAUUGAGUAUCGCAACUCGGUGAGCUUCAUCUAUCAUGUCCAGACAACGUGGAAUGCUUUUCCACCAUUACAUGUUCAUCAAGAAUCACAAUUGCAUUCACCUGACAGUUAGGAUUACAGUAUCAUAUCAGCCAGGCCAUCACUUUUGCAAUCUUCACUGGCAAAGUAGGCAGCUAUUCUGUGGCUUCACGCUGGGGCAUCUUGGAACACACUUUCUGUGGCUUGUUUGGCCUUGCUGAACGUGACAAACUGGACAUAAGAAGGCAUUAUAAGUACUGGGUGAAUGCUCAUGUCUUUGCUGUCCAUUGGAACAGUGUUAAAAUAAAGCUCCUCUUGACAUGCUUAGGUAUAAGCAUUGUUUCCAGGUAGGAAAGUGUUCUGAAGAUUUUAAGCCCGGUGAUUUUAAAAAUGCUCCCUUUGAAACAAAAGGAUCUCGGCAGGGAUUUUGGCUGAUGCAUCUGUGAGGCAAAGGGGAAUAUAUCAGCAUGACUUAGCCUCUGGCUCCCGGGGAUGGUUCCGCGCGUGGGAAACGCGGCUGCGAGAGCUCCGGCCAAGGCGCGGUGAUGCGGGCGCUGUCCGUGGUGCUACCCCUCCGGCCGUGCGGGGCGGGAGUGGGUGGGCGUGGGCUAAGGAUGCCGGCCGGCGUGGGUUGUGCAGGGC